RNAcentral lists this long non-coding RNA (5411 nucleotides) under Homo sapiens (human). RNAcentral describes it as "HSALNT0330399". Lineage: Eukaryota; Metazoa; Chordata; Mammalia; Primates; Hominidae. The record is from RNAcentral.
GUUUCAUUUCUUUUCUAAUGUGUUAUUUUUAUAUGUCUUUAUUUUUUACUCUGUUAAUUUAUUCCUGUGUUUUUUUAUGCAUAGUAAACAUACUUGUUUGUUCCUCUGCUAAUUCUCAUAACUGAAGCCUCUGUGGGUCUACAUUGGCUGCCUUGUUUUCCUGCCUGCUCUCUUGCUCAUGGUGCCUUGUUUCCGAGUGUAUUUUGUCCUUCUUGACUGUGAGUUCACAUUGCUUGGAUUUUUAUCUGCAGGAAUUAUUUGAAGCCUGCAUUUAAGAUGUUUUCUCUAGAGAGGAUUUGCAUUUGUUUCCAUCACUCACUGGUGCCACCGUGAACUUGGACCCACCGUAAACUAAUUUCUCUGCUUGAGAUUUCAGGCCCAUCCAGGUGAUAUGAAUUCAGCCAGGCUACAAACCAGAGUGAAGGCCAGUUUGAAGUUAUCAAGUGGUAGAGAAAUUUAUUUUUUCCCCUUUCAUUCAGUGCUGAGGUUCAAGACAGGCAAUUUCCCUUGUAGUCCUCUGAGUGGAAGGGCCAGGUAGGGAAGACUAGGCAGAUUAGAUUCUAUUUCACCCUUACACUGAGGCUUUGGUAACUGGGGGGGUCCCAGUUUCAUCUGUGAAAUCUCUAAGACUCCCCACCUCAGUGAACCCCAAGAUUUGUUUUGUUCCCAUAACCCAGGAGGCCAUGAAAACUGAAGCUAAAUUUCAUCUAGGUUAGCAAAAUCUAUAACGUUAAAGGGGCCUCAAUGAUCAGCUGAUGUCUCUGUGUUCUCACGCUCCUUUAGGGCUUGAAUGUUGAAUAAUCUUAAUAGUUUUCAGAGGGUGGACUGGUUAGGGAACUUAAAACUACCAUCUGUGUUGCACUGGAGGUCCAGGUUUCCAAUUUUUCAAAAGAUUACGGAACUUGACAUGGUAUGAUAAAAUCAGCUCAACUUUAAAAGUUGGCAGCUUCUUUUUAAAUUAUGGAUGUGCCAACUUUCUGAGAAUCACAUCUGGCUGAAGAGUUGUCAAUUGGCUAGAAAGCUCCAUGGAAGUUUGUUGAUCAUGGCUCCAUUAGAGAAAGAUAACAUCUAUGAAUGAGACAGAUAUAUAAUUUCGUUUAUUAUAGGAAUUUGUCCUUACACAUUUGGGAGACCUGGUUAAACAAUCUAGGUAAGGUUGUCUUUGUGUCUGAUGCUGGAGCUUGAAGUCAGUGGGAUGGGAAUCAGGAAAAAAAGAUGGAUGUGAAGUGGGGGAGAAUGAUGAUGAACUGGAACCCACGACAAUCUCCCACCACUUCUGUCUUUCUUCCUGAAACUCAGCAUGUACCUAGCCCAGGAGUUGGAGAAGCUAGAAGAAAAUUGGUGGGAGCCAAAAGACUAAAGUCUCGGCUGCUGCCCCACACUAACAAGGUGAUCGAGCAGGUGAUCUCCAACAGUGCCUGUGGCUCUGCACUGAUUUUCCAGCACAAAAAGAGUAUGGCAGAUGCUGCAUUCUCACCUUCCAAACCUCAUGCAGCCAUGCUAACUCAGGGAAGGAUUUUGGGAAAUGUUGUUCCAGCUCAGUCCUUCUGACAUGAACUGGAACAACACCAUCAGCUCUCCCGGAUCUCCAGCUUGCAGACAGCAGAUCAUGGGACUUUUCAGCUUCUGUAAUUGUGAGGUGGUUGAGAACCAUUGACGUAGACUGACUUAGCAGAUCUUCAAAUGUGAAUAGGGAAUCCUGCCAUUCCACUGAUGAGAACAGCAUGCUUAGGAUAUUGCUUCUGAGAAGAGAGGCAUCCUGUUGUAUGUAGUGGCCACAUAACAGACUGCAAAGAACUGGAACGCAGAGUAAUUUUAAUCCAAAAUGUUCAAAGGUAAGUGGCUAAAAAUAGUCCAUUCUUCUUCCAUGCUAAAACUUUAACAACUAUGAGAGAGGAAAAGCUUGACAGAUUCUCUGUAGAAUUUGUCAACUACUUUUGCCAGAGGUCAAAACUGAUCAUAAAUACUGUGCCUUAGUAGCCUAACAUGGCUUCUGAACUGUGAAUAGAAGCUGGGAUUUUGUAGCAAAUGGUGUUCCUCAGAACUCGAGGUUUCCAAGGUGACUGCAUAUGAAACUACAAACAUCACAAUAGCAGUUUCCAGAGGGACUCUCUUUAUGGUCCUCCCCAUACCCUCCAUCCCCAAACUAUUACAUUCUUUACACUGUGAUUCUUUCUAAAGUGAGAUAGAAACUAAAUAAUUGAUUUGAAUAUCAAAGAAAAGAUGUACAUUUCCAUCUUCUCAAUUUUCAUUAGAGUACUGAUUUUUCAAGUCUUCCCAAUAAGACCUAAUGCUCUCAGAACAUCUAAUGACCCAUGCAACUAACUUGACUCCAUGUGUAACAGACAGCUAGGCUGUUGAUUAUUUUAAUUAGCAAUUAAAAGUAAUACAUUCACAAAUGUUAUUUGGAUUUUUCAUUUAAAUGAAAUCUCUAGCUUUGAUCAGGAUUGAAAAUCGGUUCAGCCUAUGGGGCAGUGCAUCAUAGAAGGAGCUCUGGAUUAGGAGGAGAUGCCUGUCAUUGAGUUAGCCACUAACUCGCGAUGGGGACCCAUUCUCCUGUAUACAAUGAGAGGGUUGGACUAGCAAUUGAAAGGGUCCAUCUCUCAGCCCUGAAACACACUUCAUGUUUCUUAGCAGCAAAUAGAUUCUGGAAGAUUAAUAGUCAAUGUAAGUAUACUGCCUGCCAUAUGAUUAUAAUGUAAGAGAUCUCCUGCACUGAGUCAAGUGGUCACCCUGUGCUCUCUUCAUCCCCCAUGCUAGCCUUCAGUAGACAUCCUCAAGAGUAUUCUGUGUCCACUUACUGAUAUAUUGUACAGGAAUCCCUCUCUGUGGGGAGCAAAGUAGGUGAUCCACAUAGCUCUAGGAAGGCUGAAAACAAUAUUAGUGUCUUAUAUGUAAAUAACUAUACCUCACUCAAGCUUAAUUUUUUAAAAGCCACUUACUAAAAUUUAUACCUAAAAAUUAUUGCAUACUUACUAUACAGUAGGCAAUGUGCUAAAUAAAACAUUGUAGGAAGAAGUCACAUUAAUAUUAUUAUCCCCACCUUACAGUUAGUUGGGGGAAGUUAAGCCUAAGGUAACUCAGCUAGCAGCAGAGUAGAUGUUCCCACUGCAACUCUAUCACUAGAACCCAUGCUUUUAAAUGUUACCUGAAAACUGCCACUAUUUACUGGAAUGAACAAAUGCUACAGUAAUAGACUGAGUUUUAGGGCUCUGGGAAAAAGUACAUUGUAAUCAGCUAAAAUUGAGGAAGUACUUAAUUUGUGUCAAGAGACUCUGGGUGAUGUGAAUGUAUACAUUUAAAAUAAUAUAUAUCAUUUUAAAUGGUUAUCUAUUGGAUACAAAUUGAAAAACUUCUAUCUUUGGUCCAGCCAUUAAAUAAAUAUUUUGGUUAGUAACUAGCUUACCUACUUUGCAAUUUUAUAUUACCCAUUUCAGGAUCCUCUGUUAGUGAAAAUGGUAACAUGAGAAGCCUGAAAUGGUAUUUAAAAGCGAUAUGGAGGUCGUUCUGGUGUUGGUCUCAGUAGGGUUAGCUGGGGGAUUAUGUGAAAGCUGAGGGCUGAACAAGUCAGAAGGCAUAUUUGGAAAGUGAUUAAAGUGAUUACAUUCAAUAAUAAUAAUCACUAUGUAGUGAACACCAACGAUGCUUUCAGACUUUCAUAUGGUCCCGCGAGUUCUCAAUACAUCCUAUGCAGUAUGUGGUAGAAUCCCUAUUGAACAGAUGAGGCUCAGUAAGGUGGAAUGACUUGCCCAAGUCCACCCUGUCAUUCACUUGGAGAUGGGGCUCAGGUAACCAGGACUAUCUGGCUUCAAAGUAGCCUUCUUAAAACUUUCCAUUGAAUUGCCAGCUCUCAUAGAGGAUUAGUGCAUUCCUCUGGGGGUCUGGGACACAGACACACAGACUCACUAAAAGGUAAGUGUUUUUUAUGGAAAUCUCUUCUGUUCAGCUUCAAAAGUUAUACAAAUUUGGUGUUGUACCAUAUACAAUAUCCCUAUUUAAUGAAAAAUAAUAGUUUAUCAUUUGUGAGUUAUUUGAUUUGUAUCCAAAUCUUUGGGUAAAAUAUUCUCCAGGAAGAUGUGUCAAGUUUAUCCUAUGGCUUUCUGUGCUCUAAUUCAGGAUGAACAAAACUGCAAUAAAGCAGAGUAAGUAAACACAAAGAGUGGCCAAGAUGGCCAACUAAAAGCAGAUAGGAUGCGUGGCUCUCACAGAGAGGAAAGGAAGGAAGGGGCAAGUAAAUACAGCACUGCCAACUGACACAUCCAGACAGUCAACACUGGGACUAAUCAAGGAAACAACUCGACCCACAGAGAAUGGAGAAGAGCAAGGCAGGACGACGGCCCAUCUGGGAGCAGAAUGUGGAGCCAAGGGAACCUCCCUUGCCAAGGUAAGCAGCGAGUGAUUGUGUGAUCCCAGGAAAACUCUUCUCCCAUGGAUCUUUGCAACCCUCAGAUCAGUAGAUCCCUUCAUAAACCCACUCCACCAGGGCCUUCAGUCUGACACACAGAGCUACAUGGAGUCUUGGCACAGCAGCUUCUCAGGCACACAGGAGACCUGGGAACUUUAGAUACUCUGGUUUUCCAGGCUUCCCAGCACAAGUAGCUGCAACUCUGGCAAAGCAGGAGGUUAGACCACCAUAGAUACCCCUAGGAAAGUGGCUGAAUCCAGGGGGCAAAGCAGCGAUGGUCUGCGGGCCCUGCUUUUAUGGCACCUCACAGGAUAAGACCCACUGGGUUGGAAUUCCAGCCAGCCACCAGUAGCAGUGUUGCACCUACCCGGGACAGAGCUCCUGAGGGGAGGGGCAGGCUGUCAUCUUUACUGUUUGGAGAGUCCAAUCUGACUGGGGCAGAAGGGAUACCCCCUAGCACAACACAGCUGCUCUACAAAAACAUAGCAAGACUGUUUCUUUAAGCAGAUGCCUGAUCCUGUUCCUCUUCACAGGGAAGAACCUCACAACUGGGGCCUCCAGCCACCCCUGCCAGUGCUCUCCAGCUGACAGAGAUUUGAAAACUCCCUGGGACAGAGCUCCCAGAGGCAGUGGGGGGCAGGCUGCCAUCUGUGCUGUUUGGGUGGCUUAGUAGUUCCAGCCUUUGGGCUUUGGAGAGUCCAAGCUGACUGCGGGUGAAAGUAGUACCCCAGCACAGAAGGUCCCUGACCCCAUUCCUCAUCACUGGGUGGAGCCUCCCAACCAGGGUCUCUGGCUGACAGAGGUUUCAGGCCUCUCUGGGAUGGAGCUCCCAGAGAAAGAAGGAGGCUGCCAUCUUUGCUGUUCACAGCCUUCACUGGUGAUACCUCCAGGUACUGGAAAAUCUGAGGUGAUUAGGGACUGGAGUGGAUCCCCAGCAAACUGCAGCAGGCCUUAAGAAAAGUGGCCAGACUGUUUAAAACAAAACAAAAAAACCAUCCAGAGGUCA